UGCGUAGGCGGACUAGUAAGUCAGUGGUGAAAUCUUUCGGCUCAACCGAGAAACUGCCAUUGAUACUGUUAGUCUUGAGUUCGAUAGAGGUAGGCGGAAUGUGUAAUGUAGCGGUGAAAUGCUUAGAUAUUACACAGAACACCAAUUGCGUAGGCAGCUUACUAUGCCGACACUGACGCUGAGGCACGAAAGCGUGGGGAGCGAACAGGAUUAGAUACCCUGGUAGUCC
This 229-nucleotide ribosomal RNA is filed under the name uncultured bacterium. RNAcentral's name for it is "partial 16S ribosomal RNA". It matches the Rfam family "Bacterial small subunit ribosomal RNA", at positions 568 to 796 of the family's 1533-position model. The record is from RNAcentral.